CGGCGGACGGGUGAGUAACGCGUGGGUAACCUACCCUGUACACACAGAUAACAUACCGAAAGGUAUGCUAAUACGGGAUAAUAUAUUUGAGAGGCAUCUCUUGAAUAUCAAAGGUGAGCCAGUACAGGAUGGACCCGCGUCUGAUUAGCUAGUUGGUAAGGUAACGGCUUACCAAGGCGACGAUCGGUAGCCGACCUGAGAGGGUGAUCGGCCACAUUGGAACUGAGACACGGUCCAA
This 238-nucleotide ribosomal RNA is filed under the name uncultured bacterium. RNAcentral describes it as "partial 16S ribosomal RNA". It matches the Rfam family "Bacterial small subunit ribosomal RNA", at positions 96 to 334 of the family's 1533-position model. The record is from RNAcentral.